Long non-coding RNA from Sapajus apella (tufted capuchin), 2287 nucleotides. RefSeq lists it as uncharacterized. NCBI's taxonomy places the organism in Eukaryota, Metazoa, Chordata, Mammalia, Primates, Cebidae. The record is from RefSeq and is a predicted model, not a curated record. The transcript has 3 exons.
AUUACACAAAGAAGUGACUGCUGCCACUCCUGCUGUCCUGGUAUCAUGACAGUGGCUGAAUGUGUCAAUGUGGUUUGUAGCUGGCUUGAGCAGUGGGAUGAUCGGAGCUUGGGGAGAUUGUGUAAAGUCCACCACUUCACUGCUGGGACAUGCAUGAACCUGGAAACCAUCAUUCUCAGCAAACUGACACGAGAACAGAAAAUGAAACACCGCAUGCUCUCACUCAUAGGUGGAUCCCAACCCAGUGUGACUGGUGUCCCUGUAUGAAGAGGAGAUCAGGACACAGAGGAAGCCAUGUGCAGUCACGGAAGGGAAUGGCCAUCUGCAAACCAAAGAGGGUCCUCAGAAGGAGCCAGCACUGCUGACACCUUGAUCUUGGACCUCCAGCCUCCAGAACUGUGAGAAAAUAAAGUUCUGUUAUUUAAACCUGCCAGUCUAUGGUACUUGUUACAACAGCCCUAGCAAACCUAUGCACCAUUCAAAUUAAUUUUUAUAUCUGUUGUGAGGUAAGAUCCAGUACUUUAAAAACAUAUUAAUCAAUUGUUCUAGUACCAUUCUUCACACAGGGAUCUGCAGUGUCUUCUAUAUACAUAAAGUCUUUCAAAUACUUUGGGGGUUCAUUCCCUCAAUGGAGAGAACUCAUCACUUGAGAAAGUCACUGAAGAAGAUGAGAUUGCUAACCAUGCUAUUUAUUUGCCUUCAUUAGAAAUUCUCUGCAGCCCAUAAUCCAAAUAGUCUCCAUGUCUAGAUGCCUGAAAUUUAUUUUUCAGUUCUUGUCUUAACUUCCUAAAGUUAGGAAGUUAGGUUCCUAACUAUAGGAACUGAAGUUUUGUCAAAAGCCAGUUACCCCGUCCCUGCUCACACACAGGCAGCAGUGGUAACAGGAUGAAUACCUGCCCCAAGAGAGUACAAAGAAAAGCAGAGAAUGUUUGCUUUCCAUACCUGGUCUGGCUCCAAAAAGCCAUCACAGAAAUUCUGACAUAAAGCCCAUCCAAGUUCAUUCAGUUCUAAACAUUUAAACAUUUGUAUUCUAAUUUCCUUUUUAAUGCAUUGAGUAUUUUGACUGUAGUUCCCAAAAAUGUGGCUUUUAAAUCUCUUUGAUGCUGAUUUCUAAUUUGCCCUUUGUGUAUGGAAAAUGCCUUUUCUAAAAUGUCAAUUAUUCAGAAAUUUCUAAGACUGAUUUGGAGCCCAACAUAUAGUCAAGCUUGAAAAAUUUUUUAUGAAUAGGGCAGCUGCAUGAGUUGAUUGCUGAGGUAGAUAUGAGAUAACAACACUUAGGUAAAAAAAUUUAAAUAUUGUUUAAAGCUAAGCAUGUUGUAGACAUGUUUUCAUGCCAUUAAUCUGAUCUUUGUGCUUUAGUGACGGUUUUACAUGUAUACUGACCCUAAAAUGCAUGCCCUCUGCUACCAGGCAGAAGGGCCCACUGAAAUCUGAAUCUAAGCAUGUCUCCCUGUUCUGCCCGUUGAGAUGCGUGACCCCUCUCCUCGGUGAAUCCCGUCUCCACCAUAAUGCCUGGAGCAGCACUCUCAGUAUUGUGGCACUUACGUAUCGCAUCAUGUCUUGGAUUUCUUUCUACUGGGGCUCCCCAGGGAAACAGAACCAAUAAAAUGUAUGUAGAGAAAGACUUUUAUUAUAAGGAAUUGGUUCAAAUCGUUACGAAAGCUGAGAAGUCCCAGGUUCUGCAGUCAGCAAGCUGGGGACCCAGGAGAGCUGAUGGUCUAGAUUGCCAGCCGGAUUUGGAAUUAGAGGCAGGAGAAGGCCAAUGUCCAAGCUCAAAGACACGUGGAGAGAGUGAGCUCUCCCUUACCCUGCCUUUUGUUUAUUUAAGCCCCCAGCAGAUGGGAUGGGGUGGACGAACUGUAGGUGGAGCAACCUGCUUUACUCAUUCUACAGAUUCAAAUGUUAGUCUUGUCCAGAAAUCCCUCAUCUACACAGAAUAAUGAGUAACGAAAGAGCUGGGCACCCCAGGCCCAGCCAAGUUGACAAAUAAAUUAACCAUCACAUUAUCUUUGUACAGUUAUAAUCUGCCUAGGCUGAAAGUGCCUGAGGGUAGGAAACACAUCCCAUUGAUCUUUACAUCUUGAGUCAAGCAUGCAACUCCACGAGGCAACAGACACAUAUUUUUGAACAAGUAGUAGAUCAUUUGUAUACCUCUAGUUCUAUGUUUCAAAAAGUAAGGCGAUGUUUAGAAACAUCUCUACUUCUUCUGCUUCCAGAGAUCCUGAGAUCCAUGUAGGGCCAAAGAUGCAGGUCUCUCCUAUGCAGGGUGGGGUUUCUUAAAGUUGUC